GACGAACGCUGGCGGCGUGCUUAAUACAUGCAAGUCAACUGAACUUAAGGUAGCAAUAUUUUAAGGGAGGUGGCGCACGGGUGAGUAACACGUAGGUAAUCUGCCUUUAGGUCUGACAUAAUUCCGCGAAAGCGGGACUAAUAUCAGAUGAUGCAGCGGCUCGACAUCGAGACAGUUGUUAAACCUUCGGGGCCUAAAGAUGAGCCUGCGUCUGAUUAGGUAGUUGGCGGAGUAAAAGCCCACCAAGCCUGCGAUCAGUAGCUGGUCUGAGAGGAUGAUCAGCCACACUGGAACUGAGACACGGUCCAGACUCCUACGGGAGGCAGCAGUAAGGAAUAUUGCUCAAUGGCCGAAAGG
This 357-nucleotide ribosomal RNA is filed under the name uncultured bacterium. Its description in RNAcentral is "bacterial SSU rRNA". It matches the Rfam family "Bacterial small subunit ribosomal RNA", at positions 28 to 382 of the family's 1533-position model. The record is from RNAcentral.